ACGGAAGGCAGCAGUGAGGAAUAUUGGUCAAUGGGCGGAAGCCUGAACCAGCCAAGUCGCGUGAAGGAUGAAGGUAUUAUGUAUUGUAAACUUCUUUAGCAGCAGAGUAAUAAGGGGGUCGUGACCCCCGAUGCAAGUAUGCUGAAAAUAAGGAUCGGCUAACUCCGUGCCAGCAGCCGCGGUAAUACGGAGGAUCCGAGCGUUAUCCGGAUUUAUUGGGUUUAAAGGGUGCGCAGGCGGUUUUUUAAGUCAGUGGUUAAAUCGUGAGGCUCAACCUCAUCACGCCAUUGAUACUGGAAGACUUGAUUGCGGUUGAGGUUGGCGGAAUUCGUCGUGUAGCGGUGAAAUGCAUAGAUAUGACGAAGAACACCGAUUGCGUAGGCAGCUGACUAAGCCGUAAAUGACGCUCAUGCACGAAAGUGCGGGGAUCGAACAGGAUUAGAUACCCUGGUA
RNAcentral lists this ribosomal RNA (453 nucleotides) under uncultured Porphyromonadaceae bacterium. RNAcentral's name for it is "partial 16S ribosomal RNA". It matches the Rfam family "Bacterial small subunit ribosomal RNA", at positions 341 to 792 of the family's 1533-position model. Lineage: Bacteria; Pseudomonadati; Bacteroidota; Bacteroidia; Bacteroidales; Porphyromonadaceae. The record is from RNAcentral.